GUAGCUGGCCUUAUGAGGCAUGUGCACGCCCUGCUCAUCCACUCUACACCUGUGCACUUACUGUGGGUUUCAGAUCGUGAAGCGAGUUGUUUACCGGCUUGUGAAGCGUCUGUGCCCGCGUUUAUUACAAACACUUAUAAAGUAAUAGAACGUGUAUUGCGAUGUAACGCAUCUAUAUACAACUUUCAGCAACGGAUCUCUUGGCUCUCGCAUCGAUGAAGAACGCAGCGAAAUGCGAUAAGUAAUGUGAAUUGCAGAAUUCAGUGAAUCAUCGAAUCUUUGAACGCACCUUGCGCUCCUUGGUAUUCCGAGGAGCAUGCCUGUUUGAGUGUCAUGAAAUCUUCAACCUACAAGCCUUUGCGGGUUUGUUAGGCUUGGAUUUGGAGGCUUGUCGGCGAGUAAGUCGGCUCCUCUUAAAUGCAUUAGCUUGUUCCUUGCGGAUCGGCUGUCGGUGUGAUAAUUGUCAACGCCGCGACCGUGAAGCGUUUGGCGAGCUUCUAACCGUCUUGUUAGAGACAGAUUAUUGACCUCUGACCUCAAAUCAGGUAGGACUACCCGCUGAACUUAAGCAUAUCAAUAAGCGGAGGAAAAGAAACUAACAAGGAUUCCCCUAGUAACUGCGAGUGAAGCGGGAAAAGCUCAAAUUUAAAAUCUGGCGGUCUUUGGCCGUCCGAGUUGUAGUCUGGAGAAGUGUUUUCCGCGCUGGACCGUGUAUAAGUCUCUUGGAACAGAGCGUCAUAGAGGGUGAGAAUCCCGUCUUUGACACGGACUACCAGUGCUUUGUGAUGCGCUCUCAAAGAGUCGAGUUGUUUGGGAAUGCAGCUCAAAAUGGGUGGUGAAUUCCAUCUAAAGCUAAAUAUUGGCGAGAGACCGAUAGCGAACAAGUACCGUGAGGGAAAGAUGAAAAGCACUUUGGAAAGAGAGUUAAACAGUACGUGAAAUUGCUGAAAGGGAAACGCUUGAAGUCAGUCGCGUCGUCUGGAACUCAGCCUUGCUUUCGCUUGGUGCAUUUUCCGGAUGACGGGCCAGCAUCGAUUUUGACCGUCGGAAAAGGGCUGGGGUAAUGUGGCACCUCCCGGUGUGUUAUAGACCUUAGUCGCAUACCGCGGUUGGGAUCGAGGAACGCAGCGCGCCGCAAGGCAGGGGUUCGCCCACUUUCGCGCUUAGGAUGCUGGCGUAAUGGCUUUAAACGACCCGUCUUGAAACACGGACCAAGGAGUCUAACAUACCUGCGAGUGUUUGGGUGGAAAACCCGAGCGCGUAAUGAAAGUGAAAGUUGGGACCUCUGUCGUGGAGGGCACCGACGCCCGGACCUGACGUUCUCUGACGGAUCCGCGGUAGAGCAUGUAUGUUGGGACCCGAAAGAUGGUGAACUAUGCCUGAAUAGGGUGAAGCCAGAGGAAACUCUGGUGGAGGCUCGUAGCGAUUCUGAC
Molecule: ribosomal RNA, 1433 nt
Filed under: Polyporales sp. TU108349
Lineage: Eukaryota; Fungi; Basidiomycota; Agaricomycetes; Polyporales
Description: eukaryotic LSU rRNA
Rfam family: Eukaryotic large subunit ribosomal RNA (bases 532-1433)
Source: RNAcentral